UGCUGAACUUAUACCCGUUACUGUUGCCUCGUGCGUCAGGCCGGCCCUCCAUCCUUGGGGGGCCCCUCGUCCCCGGACGAGGAGCAGUGCCCGCCGGCGGCUACCUAACUCUUGUUUUUAACGCGGAACUCUGAGUAAAAAUUCAAAAUGAAUCAAAACUUUCAACAACGGAUCUCUUGGUUCUGGCAUCGAUGAAGAACGCAGCGAAAUGCGAUAAGUAAUGUGAAUUGCAGAAUUCAGUGAAUCAUCGAAUCUUUGAACGCACAUUGCGCCCUCUGGUAUUCCGGAGGGCAUGCCUGUUCGAGCGUCAUUUCAACCCUCAAGCCUGGCUUGGUGAUNGGGUACUGCCUCCUAGCGGGGGCAGGCCCUGAAAUUCAGUGGCGAGCUCGCCAGGGACUCCGAGCGGUAGUUAGUUAAAACCCUUCGGCUCUGGAAAGGGACUUGGCAGGGUGCCCUUGACCGNUUAAAGCCCAUCCUAAAUUUUCUGAACAAAUUUGACCCUUCAGGGAUUCAAGGGUUAAGAAAUUACACCGGCCUUGGAAACUUUAA
This 549-nucleotide ribosomal RNA is filed under the name Diaporthe sp. UFMGCB 5116. RNAcentral describes it as "eukaryotic LSU rRNA". The stretch from base 157 to 310 matches the Rfam family "5.8S ribosomal RNA". Lineage: Eukaryota; Fungi; Ascomycota; Sordariomycetes; Diaporthales; Diaporthaceae. The record is from RNAcentral.